RNAcentral lists this ribosomal RNA (465 nucleotides) under uncultured Klebsiella sp. RNAcentral describes it as "bacterial SSU rRNA". It matches the Rfam family "Bacterial small subunit ribosomal RNA", at positions 338 to 795 of the family's 1533-position model. Lineage: Bacteria; Pseudomonadati; Pseudomonadota; Gammaproteobacteria; Enterobacterales; Enterobacteriaceae. The record is from RNAcentral.
CCUACGGGUGGCAGCAGUGGGGAAUAUUGCACAAUGGGCGCAAGCCUGAUGCAGCCAUGCCGCGUGUGUGAAGAAGGCCUUCGGGUUGUAAAGCACUUUCAGCGGGGAGGAAGGCGGUGAGGUUAAUAACCUCAUCGAUUGACGUUACCCGCAGAAGAAGCACCGGCUAACUCCGUGCCAGCAGCCGCGGUAAUACGGAGGGUGCAAGCGUUAAUCGGAAUUACUGGGCGUAAAGCGCACGCAGGCGGUCUGUCAAGUCGGAUGUGAAAUCCCCGGGCUCAACCUGGGAACUGCAUUCGAAACUGGCAGGCUAGAGUCUUGUAGAGGGGGGUAGAAUUCCAGGUGUAGCGGUGAAAUGCGUAGAGAUCUGGAGGAAUACCGGUGGCGAAGGCGGCCCCCUGGACAAAGACCGACGCUCAGGUGCGAAAGCGUGGGGAGCAAACAGGAUUAGAUACCCCGGUAGUC